GCGGCCGCUUCUACAUGCAAGUCGAGGGGCAGCAUAAAGUACUUGUACUUUGAUGGCGACCGGCGAACGGGUGCGUAACGCGUAUGCAACUUACCUUUUACUAGAGAAUAGCCAAGAGAAAUUUUGAUUAAUGCUCUAUACUCUUUUUAACUCACAUGAGUUUUUAAGAAAAGCUCCGGCGGUAAAAGAUGGGCAUGCGUCCUAUUAGCUUGUAGGUGAGGUAACGGCUCACCUAAGCUCCGAUAGGUAGGGGUCCUGAGAGGGAGAUCCCCCACACUGGUACUGAGACACGGACCAGACUUCUACGGAAGGCAGCAGUAAGGAAUAUUGGACAAUGGAGGAAACUCUGAUCCAGCGAUGCCGCGUGAAGGAAGACGGCCCUAUGGGUUGUAAACUUCUUUUAUACAGGAAGAAACCUUUCCACGUGUGGAAAGCUGACGGUACUGUAAGAAUAAGGAUCGGCUAACUCCGUGCCAGCAGCCGCGGUAAUACGGAGGAUCCAAGCGUUAUCCGGAAUUAUUGGGUUUAAAGGGUCCGCAGGCUGUUUGUUAAGUCAGGGGUGAAAUCCUACCGCUCAACGGUAGAACUGCCUUUGAUACUGGCAAACUUGAGUUAUUGUGAAGUAGUUAGAAUGUGUAGUGUAGCGGUGAAAUGCAUAGAUAUUACACAGAAUACCAAUUGCGAAGGCAGAUUACUAACAAUUAACUGACGCUGAGGGACGAAAGCGUGGGUAGCGAACAGGAUUAGAUACCCUGGUAGUCCACGCCGUAAACGAUGGUCACUAGCUGUUCGAUGUACAUGGGUACAUUGAGUGGCUAAGCGAAAGUGAUAAGUGACCACCUGGGGAGUACGCUCGCA
RNAcentral lists this ribosomal RNA (858 nucleotides) under uncultured Bacteroidota bacterium. RNAcentral describes it as "bacterial SSU rRNA". It matches the Rfam family "Bacterial small subunit ribosomal RNA", at positions 39 to 890 of the family's 1533-position model. Lineage: Bacteria; Pseudomonadati; Bacteroidota. The record is from RNAcentral.